UUAAAUUGAAGAGUUUGAUCAUGGCUCAGAUUGAACGCUGGCGGCAGGCCUAACACAUGCAAGUCGAACGGUAACAGGAAGAAGCUUGCUUCUUUGCUGACGAGUGGCGGACGGGUGAGUAAUGUCUGGGAAACUGCCUG
Molecule: ribosomal RNA, 140 nt
Filed under: Escherichia coli
Lineage: Bacteria; Pseudomonadati; Pseudomonadota; Gammaproteobacteria; Enterobacterales; Enterobacteriaceae
Description: partial 16S ribosomal RNA
Rfam family: Bacterial small subunit ribosomal RNA
Source: RNAcentral